Molecule: non-coding RNA, 764 nt
Organism: Solanum lycopersicum (tomato)
Lineage: Eukaryota; Viridiplantae; Streptophyta; Magnoliopsida; Solanales; Solanaceae
Source: RefSeq, a predicted model, not a curated record
AGGAAUUGUUCAAUCGAGAAGUGACAUGAAAAAAUGCGUCUUCGUUGCAGGGUAUCGUGAGACCACCCAUUGAAUGUUGAAAUCCAAAUUCUUCCUCUGAUAUCUGAAGCAAUUCCUGGAACAAACUGUGAUUCAGAGUGCAGUUUGUGGUACUGCUUCACACUUGAAAUAAUUGGUGGUAAACGAAUAAUACCCAUCACUAGAUCUUGUUAUUAAAGGCUUGUUAAUGACUUGAGAAAGAUAAUGCAGUUGAAGUGUUUGAUGAUUUGUCUGACUGUCUAUUUAUAAUAGCUACUGGAAGAUGAUGUUGCGUUCCACCGCAGCUCAGCCUGUCCUUGUGUACAAUUGGUAAUCAUGUGAAAUGGGUCCAACUUCACAUGUUUGCUUCAUCAUCAACAAAUAAAAUACUCCUAUCCAAUUCCCAGACCAUUAUUGAAUUCCUUCCAAAAUCUGAUGAAACAGCCAAAUUGUGAAUUUAAGUUCCUUCCCCACACGACUUUGACCUGAUUACGACUACUUGGUUCAAAACUCAAUAAAAAGAUAAAAAGAUAAUGUUAGGUAAUUAUUCUUAUGUUUGAUAUUUGAUGAACAGAGUUACUUGAUACUAUUAUUGGUGGGAUAUGACAUAUAUCUCAUAGAAUUAAUCAAGAUGUGUUAAAGCUGACUCGAAUAUCACGGUCGUGUAAAAAAAUAAAAUGUAUAUUGUUUGGCUCAAAAAGAUAAAAGUAAUGAGAGCUAAUUAAUCAAAUUGAGUCUGCCAUUUA